AAGUCGUAACAAGGUUUCCGUAGGUGAACCUGCGGAAGGAUCAUUAAUGAUUUUAGCUAACCUUGGCUAUUUUAGCCAUGGUUAUGCGAAAUUUUGUAUUUAAAACCCCACUCUUAUAAUAUAAAUUUAUUAUAUUUAUGAUAAAAAUAAGAUCACUUUCAACAACGGAUCUCUUGGUUCUC
RNAcentral lists this unclassified non-coding RNA (182 nucleotides) under Oehlia diaphana. Its description in RNAcentral is "partial internal transcribed spacer region". The stretch from base 1 to 46 matches the Rfam family "Eukaryotic small subunit ribosomal RNA", at positions 1786 to 1831 of the family's 1831-position model. Lineage: Eukaryota; Fungi; Glomeromycota; Glomeromycetes; Glomerales; Glomeraceae. The record is from RNAcentral. RNAcentral also lists the same sequence under 2 other names.